CCUACGGGUGGCUGCAGUGGGGAAUAUUGCACAAUGGAGGAAACCCUGAUGCAGCGACGCCGCGUUAGUGAGGAAGUAUUUCGGUAUGUAAAGCUCUAUCAGCAUGUAAGAAAAUGACGGUACCUGACUCAGGAGCCGCGUCUAACUACGUGCCAGCAGCCGCGGUAAUACGUAGGGGGCAAGCGUUAUCCGGAUUUACUGGGUGUAAAGGGAGCGUAGACGGACUUGCAAGGCUGAUGUGAAAAGCCGGGGCCCAACCCCGGAACUGCAUUGGAAACUGUAUAUCUAGAGUGUCGGAGAGGCAAGUGGAAUUCCUGGGGUAGCGGUGAAAUGCGUAGAUAUCAGGAGGAACACGAGUGGCGAAGGCGGCUUGCUGGACGAUGACUGACGUUGAGGCUCGAAAGCGUGGGGAGCAAACAGGAUUAGAUACCCCAGUAGUC
Molecule: ribosomal RNA, 440 nt
Filed under: uncultured bacterium
Lineage: Bacteria
Description: partial 16S ribosomal RNA
Rfam family: Bacterial small subunit ribosomal RNA
Source: RNAcentral